Molecule: transfer RNA, 73 nt
Filed under: Ovis aries (sheep)
Lineage: Eukaryota; Metazoa; Chordata; Mammalia; Artiodactyla; Bovidae
Rfam family: tRNA
About the family: Transfer RNA (tRNA) molecules are approximately 80 nucleotides in length.
Source: Rfam by way of RNAcentral
UCCCUGACAGUCCAGUUGUUAUGACUCUGCACUUCCAACGCAGGGGGUGUGGGUUUGAUCCCUGGUCAGGGAA